GUGCCUAAUACAUGCAAGUCGAGCGGACGGAUGGGAGCUUGCUCCCUGAAGUCAGCGGCGGACGGGUGAGUAACACGUGGGCAACCUGCCUGUAAGACUGGGAUAACUUCGGGAAACCGGAGCUAAUACCGGAUAAUGCAUUUCCCCUCAUGGGGAUAUGCUGAAAGAUGGUUUCGGCUAUCACUUACAGAUGGGCCCGCGGCGCAUUAGCUAGUUGGUGAGGUAACGGCUCACCAAGGCAACGAUGCNUAGCCGACCUGAGAGGGUGAUCGGCCACACUGGGACUGAAACACGGCCCAAACUCCUACGGGAGGCAGCAGUAGGGAAUCUUCCGCAAUGGACGAAAGUCUGACGGAGCAACGCCGCGUGAGUGAUGAAGGUUUUCGGAUCGUAAAACUUUGUUGUCAGGGAAAAACAAGUGCCGGANUAACUGCCGGCACCUUGACGGUACCUGACCAGAAAGCCACGGCUAACUACGUGCCAGCAGCCGCGGUAAUACGUAGGAUGCAAGCGUUGUCCGGAAUUAUUGGGCGUAAAGCGCGCGCAGGCGGUCUCUUAAGUCUGAUGUGAAAGCCCACGGCUCAACCGUGGAGGGUCAUUGGAAACUGGGGGACUUGAGUGCAGAAGAGGAAAGUGGAAUUUCC
Molecule: ribosomal RNA, 644 nt
Filed under: Bacillus sp. SP03
Lineage: Bacteria; Bacillati; Bacillota; Bacilli; Caryophanales; Bacillaceae
Description: bacterial SSU rRNA
Rfam family: Bacterial small subunit ribosomal RNA
Source: RNAcentral